Molecule: long non-coding RNA, 166 nt
Organism: Lagenorhynchus albirostris (white-beaked dolphin)
Lineage: Eukaryota; Metazoa; Chordata; Mammalia; Artiodactyla; Delphinidae
Exons: 3
Source: RefSeq, a predicted model, not a curated record
GCACCAUAGCGGUUGGUUGCCUUUUUAACUUCAGGCAUGGAAAUGUAUUUGAGGUCCCACAUCCAGAUCACUUUGAAGCAAAGUCCAAGCAUUGUAUCACUUCAUCUGUGUUUCAGUAUGUACCUAAAAGACCCCAUCUCUUGUGCAGGAGGGAGCUCAAGUUAGA